Long non-coding RNA from Tachysurus fulvidraco (yellow catfish), 3933 nucleotides. RefSeq lists it as uncharacterized. Lineage: Eukaryota; Metazoa; Chordata; Actinopteri; Siluriformes; Bagridae. The transcript is spliced from 2 exons. The record is from RefSeq and is a predicted model, not a curated record.
CUGUAUUUUUAUAUUUAGCUUUGUUUAUUAUUAUUAUUUCCUCUGUUCAUGUCGAAAACUAGCUUUAGCAUUAGCUCAUCGUAGCUCUUCCUUGUUCGCUAUAUGUACAACUGUUAUUAGUUAAACUGCGUAACGACAUUAACUUUUAUUCCCACACUUGGAUUUAAUAGAUUUUAAUAAGAAGGAUUAUAAUAGGGGUAUUUUAACAUACAGCUAUUUAAAACCACGGUUGUCGCUACAUAAUGUCGUGUAUUAUAGAGUUACAAAGGGGCGGAAAGUUUCGGUAAACUUACUGAAACUUUCAACGGGAACUUAAUCUGGUACUUAAUCUUAAUUUAUGGGAAUUAUUUGUAACUAUAGGGAAAUGUAUAUAAACUAUAUGAUAUAGAAACAUAAAUAAACAUGUUGUUUGGUCAUAAGCAGACAUGAAUACAAGGCAGAGGCAGUUCUAGGCCUUCUUUAGGGUGUCUCCAGCCCCCUGUGUGUGAUCUCAGUCACUCUAAAACUAUAAGGAGCAUUUUUACUUUCAGAAAUAAACAAUAAAAAUGACGUUAAAAUGCAGGACGUGUCGUCGAUGGGAAAGAAAAUUAUUUAUCAGUUUGAUCCAAGAGCGAUUUUUUUUACUUUGCUUUUACGUGCGUGUGUUGUAGUGUUUUAAAAGUGCGUCAUCAGCUGUCUGCUUUAUUAAAAUGGAGAAGCACGGGAACGCGCAGCGUGCACGCGCAGUCAGAGCUGGAGGCGUUUAUUUAUAACGUUAAUCGGCGGAAAGCCGCAAAGACGCCAACCAAAAGCAGUGAAAUGUCACUAUUCUUAUUACCAGAGUUGUAGCACAAACUAAAUAUUAAUGCAAACAAUCCAUUUAAUACUAAAUAAAAAAUAACAUUUUAAAUAAUACCAUAACUUUUGGCUUACUAUGUAGUCAUAUAAUAUAUAAUAUAAAACUCUUCUUGUUUUAAAUUCUCACUGAGGGAUAAAACCCCUAAAGAUGAAACCCUAGAACUGCCCCUGAUGCAAAGUAAUACAAAUUUAAAAAAUGACGUCUUGACUGAUUUAAUUGUAAGUAGAACUUUGAUUCUUUCAUUGAGUAACACAAAAGCAUAAUAAACAUUAUUAUGCUUGUUAUAAACUUAAUAAUUGUAAUAAACAUUAUUUCCCUAUGAUUGCUGUAAAAUGAAACCAUCCCCCACCCCUUGCCCCUCUAAAAAAGUCCAAAUUAAAAUGUAAAAUGAAAAUAAUAAUAAUAAUAAUAAUAAUAAUAAUAAUAAUAAUAAUAAGUUUAUUUUAUAUAGCACCUUUCAACAGUCUCAAGGACUCUUUACAUGAUGUGAUAUACAAUGAAACAGAAUUAAGGAGGUUUAGUAAACAUCACUAUACGUAUACACAACAUACACAUACACCAUAGAAAAGGAAACACAACAUCAAAACAUCCCAAUCAACAAACAUGUACAUUACAGCAACAAACAUUCUAGUAGACAAUACAGAAGAGACAAAUAGAGACACAAAACCAUGUCAAUGGACUUGAGAAUUUGAAUAACAGGAAGUGAACAGAUAAGUUUUCAGAUUAGUUUUGAAAUCCUGUAAAGACGCCAGGUCUCGAAUGUUCUGGGGAGAGAAGUCCAGAGGCUGGGAGCCACAAUACAGAAGGUUCUACCACCAAAAGACUUCAGCCUAUAAUGAGGAACCUCUAAUAAAUUAGAGUCAGAGGACCUAAGUGCAGGGGCAGGGGUAUAUGUGUGAAGGAGAUCUGUGGUAUAUUGUGGACAGGAGCGAUGGAGAGCUUUAAAUGUAGUGAGGAGAACUUUAUAUUGAACACAGAAACUAAGCCACCGUGCCCCCAGAAGUUGAUAGUAAACCAUAAAAAAGUGCAUUACAGUAAUCUAGACAGGAGGUAAUGAAAGCAUGGACAAGGGUCUCGGCAUCAUUGAUAUUUAAACUUGGGCGUAAUCGGGCAAUAUUUUGUAGAUGAAAGAAGGCAGAUUUGGUGAGAGAUGAGAUGUGAGAGGAGAAAGACAGAAGAAUCAAACACUAUGCCCAGGUUUUUGAUAGUGGUUGGGGGUUUUACAUGACAGCCAGUGAUAUUAAUUUUAUCAAUAUUAAGAGAUGAAGUACAUUUAGGAGGGCCGACUAAGAGCAGAUCUGUUUUAUCUGUCUUUAGUUUGAGGAAGUUCUUGGUCAUUAAUAUGUUUAUUUUAUUGAUACAAGGAGUUAUAACAUCUAUGGGAAAGGGAUCAGUGUGUUUAAAGCUCAUGUAUAGUUGUGUGCCAUCCGUGUACAAGUUAUAACUAAGCCCAUAACGAUGGAUAAUGUGACCUAAUGGAAGCAUAUAAAUAAUAAUAAGGGAAGGCCCAAGAACAGAUCAGGGUUAGGGUUAGGUCUCAAUGGCUUCUUCCUGGACCUCAUCAACAUCCUCCAUGUCCACUUCCCCAACAUUUGACUCAUCUUCAUCUUCAGUGUCACUGUCUAGCCUUGUUGAGGAUGGCUCUUUGUCAGACUCAGAGAGCCGUAGGUUUGCUCGGAUGGCCACCGGUUUUUCAACCCUCGCAUUUGUGAGCCUGUUGUGAACCUUUGUGUGUGUUCUCAAACGGUGAGCAGUUACGCUCAGAGGCAGCAGAUGUUGGUGGGAUUUGAAGGAUGAUGGAGGCUACCGGUGCAAGGGCCUCAGAUCCACAAAGUCCCUUCCACCAGGAAGAUGCAAGUACAUGCUGGCAAGACUGCCAUAUCCCAUCCCCUUCACAAAGGCCUUGUUUGGUAAGGUACUUUGCCAGACUGCCAAGAACGUUUCCUUUAUCAAGACCCAGAUGAACUCUUGGUGCUUCUCCAUUGAUUUGACCAGUGCAGUUUCCUCUGCUUGGAGCAGCAGGGAAGCAGGUAGGACAGUAUGAAUUUCUUGUUUGAGCUCAGCAUCUGACAUUUAACAUCUGACAAGAUGGCAUUAUCACCUUCAAUCUCUGCAAUAGCUGCUGUUAUUGGUUUGAGGAUUCUCAGGCUGCUGGACACCCUUUCCCAGAACACAUCAUCCAACAGGAUUCUUUUGAUGGGACUUUCAAUGACUGCAGUCUGGGAUAUGACCAUCUCUUGCAAAGACCCGUUCCCUCUAGCAGACUGUCGUACAUGAUGACAACCCCACCCCAUCGAGUGAUGCUGGGGAGCUUCAGUGUGGUGUUCUUUUUUUUCUUUUUGCUUAGAGAAGUAGAUUGCUGAAGCUACCUGUUUGCCCUUGACAUAUUUCACCACUUGUUCUGCUGUCUUGUAAAGUGUGUCCAUUACUGGUUGAGGGGUGGUGACGAUGUAGUCGAUGAUUCCUUGCCCCUGGACUUUUGACCACUCAUCACCGAUGACUGAAAUCUGCUUUGUCAGUGGUUUGCUUGACUUUUGCUUGCACUCUGUUGAACUCAGUAUCCAGCAAAUGAGUAGAUAAAGCAUGUCUGGUGGGAGGUGUGUAUGUGGGGAGAAGAACAUUCAGAAAUCUCUUCCAGUAGACAUUAGCUGUGAGCAUCAGAGGUGAGCCAGUAGCAUACAUUGCUCGAGCAAAACAUUCAUCAACAUUUCUCUGGCUACGAUCAUCCAUUGUGUCAAAUCCUCUGAUUCAGAUUCAGACGCCCUCUCGUCAGCUCCUAGUCACUCUUGAAUCAUUUUCACUGUGAAUGGAAGCAGAUGAACUCUUGCCUGGGGCUGUUUGUUUGGAGCCCUGGGGAAACUUUGGGCACUUGGCUAUAUGAUUCUGCAUCUUUGUGACAGUCUUAACACAGGUGUUUGUACAGUAUUUGUAACUGUACACAGCCUUUCCUUCCACAUUAACUGAGCUGAAAUGUAUCCACACAUGAGAUGGUGUGUGUGGCUUUGUUCUGUAGAUGAUUAGAAAGAAAGCUAGUAAAAACACUUAUGUAAUGCAAUACACAGGUAUAUAAAUAAAUAAACAACUGUAAUAUUCUG